This is a long non-coding RNA of Harpia harpyja (harpy eagle), 1332 nucleotides long. RefSeq lists it as uncharacterized. The transcript is spliced from 3 exons. Lineage: Eukaryota; Metazoa; Chordata; Aves; Accipitriformes; Accipitridae. The record is from RefSeq and is a predicted model, not a curated record.
CUCUUCUUCAGAAGUUAGCUGGAGGAAAACACCUUAGAAAAACUCAACCAUUUGGUGCAAUUUUUUUUUUGUUUCCAAAGAAAUGUGCGCUUUCCUUCUCUGGGAAAAUGUAGCCAUUGCUCUUCUUUAGACUAGGCGUUUCUAAUUUGUUCCGUCUGUCAAAAUGGGACUAUGAGAGGUUUUGGUGUAAAUUCAUUAUCUCUGCCAACGCAUAACAUAUAGUAGGAACGAGAAAAGACCGUGGCAAUGGAUGAACAAAAGGGCUUCAGUUCAUCAGCAACAAAAGCGUUGGGAAAAUUGGUUGAAUUUCAGAGCACGUCCUCCUCAGCAGAGAGGGCUGGACUAGACCUUGGCCAACCCCCCCCCCCCAAAAACUUGCAGAGCCUCACAUACAACACUUCACUUUCUACUCUGGGGCUUAGGAAGCAAUAUGGAAAAAGGAAAAAAAAAACAACAACCCACACCCUUUUGCCUUCCCCUCCCCCCCUUUUUUUUAAUGGAAGCUUUUUAACUAUUUUAGAACCAAUCGUGCAAGAAUUACACCAUGGAACUAAGCAGCACUUUUAAAUAGAGAUGACGAGGGGAAAGAUCUGAAUUUCUGGAGAUAUGAAAGAACCUGCUUUCUGUGCUUUAAAGGGGUCUUGACCGUGGUGGGAAUCUUUGUUUUCUACUGGAGAUUCACCUAACCAUUUAGAUGUGGGGUCAAAUCUUUAUAAAAUAAAGAACAAAUAUUUAAUCAAUGCAGGAAGACCACAGGAAAUAACAAUCACGACAAGAAACGACCGGGGGCAGCAGCAAGCCAGCAAGACCGCAUCUUCUUCCCAGUUCUAGGAGCCCUGAGAAAGCGAGGAUCUUCCCCCCCUAAAACGUACAUACAUGCAAGAUAUUUGCAAUCAAACUGCCACCAUUUGGUAAAAAUCUCUAUACCAUGCAUAAUCUAAAAGGAUCAGGAGCUGGAUCCUCGAAUCAUCUUGUCACUUUCUACUGAAAUGGGAUUUUUUUUUUUUUUCCUCCUUACACUGCGCUGGAAAUUGCCGAUGGCUUUACAUCUUUAUAGAGUCUAAAGAGUCUUUCGUGAGACUGAAGGAUUUACAAUGCAAAUAGAGGCUUGUGAAGGGAUGGAUGCUUUUCAGUCUUAUCACAGCUUGAUGCACCUUAAUAGCUGGGUUUAUUUUCUGAUAUUAACAGAUGAAUUGUUGGCUAUCGCUGCCGGAAAUUACUGGCUGAAAGAAAAAGUUCGGAAUAAACUUUGAAGGCAACAGAUCUCUUUUGGAUGUUAUUAGCUGCGCGCGCACACACAUAUCAGGUCACAAUUGCAUAAAAGGAUGACUA